Molecule: ribosomal RNA, 2887 nt
Organism: Simiduia agarivorans SA1 = DSM 21679
Lineage: Bacteria; Pseudomonadati; Pseudomonadota; Gammaproteobacteria; Cellvibrionales; Cellvibrionaceae
Rfam family: Bacterial large subunit ribosomal RNA
Source: Rfam
GGUCAAGCGACUAAGCGCACACGGUGGAUGCCUAGGCAGUUGGAGGCGAUGAAGGACGUAGGAGCCUGCGAAAAGGUUAGGGGAGCCGGCAAACAUGCUUUGAUCCUAACAUGUCCGAAUGGGGAAACCCACUGAGCUUGCUCAGUAUCGUGCACUGAAUACAUAGGUGUACGAGGCGAACCCGGGGAACUGAAACAUCUAAGUACCCGGAGGAAAAGAAAUCAACCGAGAUUCCCUUAGUAGCGGCGAGCGAACGGGGACCAGCCCUUAAGCAACUUGUGUUUUAGUGGAACCUUCUGGAAAGUUGGGCGAUACAGGGUGAUAGCCCCGUACACGAAAAGGCACUUGUUGUGAAAUCGAGUAGGACGGAACACGUGAUAUUCUGUCUGAACAUGGGGGGACCAUCCUCCAAGGCUAAAUACUCCCAACUGACCGAUAGUGAACCAGUACCGUGAGGGAAAGGCGAAAAGAACCCCUGUGAGGGGAGUGAAAUAGAACCUGAAACCGUGUGCGUACAAGCAGUAGGAGCCUCUUCGUGGGGUGACUGCGUACCUUUUGUAUAAUGGGUCAGCGACUUAUUGUAUGUGGCAAGGUUAACCGUUUAGGGGAGCCGUAGCGAAAGCGAGUCUUAAUAGGGCGUUUUAGUCGCAUGCAAUAGACCCGAAACCGAGCGAUCUAUCCAUGGGCAGGUUGAAGGUUGAGUAACAUCAACUGGAGGACCGAACCCACUAAUGUUGAAAAAUUAGGGGAUGACCUGUGGAUCGGAGUGAAAGGCUAAUCAAGCUCGGAGAUAUCUGGUUCUCCCCGAAAUCUAUUUAGGUAGAGCCUCGGACGAACACCACUGGGGGUAGAGCACUGUUUGGGCUAGGGGGUCAUCCCGACUUACCAACCCCAUGCAAACUCCGAAUACCAGUGAGUGCUAUCCGGGAGACAGACGGCGGGUGCUAACGUCCGUCGUCAAGAGGGAAACAACCCAGACCACCAGCUAAGGUCCCAAAUGUUAAUUAAGUGGGAAACGAUGUGGGAAGGCUUAGACAGCUAGGAGGUUGGCUUAGAAGCAGCCAUCCUUUAAGAAAGCGUAAUAGCUCACUAGUCGAGUCGGCCUGCGCGGAAGAUGUAACGGGGCUAAAUUAGCAACCGAAGCUGUGGCUGUGUCUUAUGACACGGGGUAGGGGAGCGUUCUGUAAGCUGUUGAAGGUGUGUUGUCAGGCAUGCUGGAGGUAUCAGAAGUGCGAAUGCUGACAUGAGUAACGACAAGGGGAGUGAAAAACUCCCCCGCCGGAAGAUCAAGGUUUCCUGUCCAACGUUAAUCGGGACAGGGUUAGUCGGCCCCUAAGGCGAGGCAGAAAUGCGUAGUCGAUGGGAAGCGCGUUAAUAUUCGUGCACUUUUUGUUAUUGCGAUGGAGGGACGGAGAAGGCUAGGCCAUCACGGCGUUGGUUGUCCGUGUUUAAGGUUGUAGGCUGGGGAUUUAGGCAAAUCCGGAUCCCUAAGGCUGAGAACUGAUGACGAGCUAACUUUUAGUUGGCGAAGUGGUUGAUGCCCUGCUUCCAAGAAAAGCUUCUAAGCUUCAGAUAACAAAGAACCGUACUGUAAACCGACACAGGUGAUCAGGUAGAGAAUACCAAGGCGCUUGAGAGAACUCGGGUGAAGGAACUAGGCAAAAUGGCACCGUAACUUCGGGAGAAGGUGCGCCACUGACGGUGAAGGAUUUACUCCGUAAGCUGUUGGUGGUCGAAGUAACCAGUCCGCUGCAACUGUUUAUUAAAAACACAGCACUCUGCAAACACGUAAGUGGACGUAUAGGGUGUGACGCCUGCCCGGUGCUGGAAGGUUAAUUGAUGGGGUUAGCGUAAGCGAAGCUCUUGAUCGAAGCCCCAGUAAACGGCGGCCGUAACUAUAACGGUCCUAAGGUAGCGAAAUUCCUUGUCGGGUAAGUUCCGACCUGCACGAAUGGCGUAAUGAUGGCGGAGCUGUCUCCACCCGAGACUCAGUGAAAUUGAAAUCGCUGUUAAGAUGCAGUGUACCCGCGGCUAGACGGAAAGACCCCGUGAACCUUUACUGUAGCUUUGCACUGAACUUUGAACCUAUUUGUGUAGGAUAGGUGGGAGGCUUUGAAGCCAUGACGCUAGUUGUGGUGGAGCCGUCCUUGAAAUACCACCCUGGUAUGUUUGAGGUUCUAACGUCGGCCCGUUAUCCGGGUUGCGGACAGUGCAUGGUGGGCAGUUUGACUGGGGCGGUCUCCUCCCAAAGAGUAACGGAGGAGCACGAAGGUUGGCUAAUCCUGGUCGGAAAUCAGGAGUUUAGUGUAAUGGCACAAGCCAGCUUGACUGCGAGACUGACACGUCGAGCAGGUACGAAAGUAGGUCAUAGUGAUCCGGUGGUUCUGUAUGGAAGGGCCAUCGCUCAACGGAUAAAAGGUACUCCGGGGAUAACAGGCUGAUACCGCCCAAGAGUUCACAUCGACGGCGGUGUUUGGCACCUCGAUGUCGGCUCAUCACAUCCUGGGGCUGAAGCCGGUCCCAAGGGUAUGGCUGUUCGCCAUUUAAAGUGGUACGCGAGCUGGGUUUAGAAUGUCGUGAGACAGUUCGGUCCCUAUCUGCCGUGGGCGUUGGAGAUUUGAGAAGAGUUGCUCCUAGUAUGAGAGGACCGGAGUGAACGAACCUCUGGUGUUCGGGUUGUCAUGCCAAUGGCAUUGCCCGGUAGCUAUGUUCGGACGGGAUAACCGUCUGAAAGCAUUUAAGCGGGAAGCCUCCUUCAAGAUAAGAUCUCCCUGGGGCCUUGAGCCCCCUAAAGAGCCGUUGAAGACUACGACGUUGAUAGGUUGGGUGUGGAAGCGCUGUGAGGCGUUGAGCUAACCAAUACUAAUUGCUCGUGAGGCUUGACCAU